Molecule: long non-coding RNA, 1177 nt
Organism: Syngnathus acus (greater pipefish)
Lineage: Eukaryota; Metazoa; Chordata; Actinopteri; Syngnathiformes; Syngnathidae
Exons: 2
Source: RefSeq, a predicted model, not a curated record
UCAUUUGUGGGUGCUUUUGGGGAAAUUUGUUGAGGUUUACCCAAUACAGAAAAUAUGAUUUGGUUUUCAGUCCAUGGUAGAACAAAUGAAGAUAAAACCAUCACAUCUAUUCUACCAGCUCUCGGGAGAAAAGGGCUUCCCUCCUGCGGGAAGUGAUGACGUGGGCAGCCUGACUGCAUCACUACCCGCAAGUCGCCCUCAUGGUCAUACCGCAACACGGCUGAGGGAUGAAGGGGGGGCAUCGGAGGUUGCCAAGGCAACACGUUGCAGUGUGACGCAUGCAAGAGCAGCAGAAAGAAAGGAAGGUGAUGAUUGGCUGGCAAGUGCAAAAAUAGAAGAGGGAGGAUGAAGUGGCAUGGCACUGAGAAACUGAGACGAACCACAGACACACACAAAUAUUGAAAUGUAUUUUUCUAACAUUUUCUGACCUCGAAAUGCACGUGUGAACACAUGUUCAAUAACAUUACAAAUGUAUCUUUUUAACAUUACAUUCAAAUGCCAGCUGCGCUAUACGAUAUAUUGCUAAUGACACUAUUACAAAAAGAAAAUAUAGUCGUUUCUAACAUUACGUUAUGUAGGUCCUUGGAGGACCCAUAAAGUCUUGUUGAAAAUGUUUACACCUCCACCUCGGUUCCAUUCCUACUGCAGUUGCUGCAAACGGAUGCCAAUACUAUAGUGACACCUGUUGGGCAGAAGGGGAAUGGCAUGCUAGCAGUAACGCGAUUACGUACGCUAGGCGUAAACUGACGUCACACACGCCUUCAUUUGGACAAUUGUUCCAAUAUUUUUUUAUUCUGAUAAUCUGCUUGUUCAAAUUGAAUGCAACACUUUAAACAAAAGCUCCUUUAUUUCCAUGUUCUCAAGAACAUAAUUUACCAUACUUUUGUAAUGACAAAUAAAAGGAAAACAAUCAUUGUAACACAUCACAGAUUUAACAGAAGGAGAAUUUGCACCCAAGUGCUUGAACGGAAAUGUUCAUGAAUGUGUAUGCAAAUUAGGUUGUCGCGCUGUGCUGUAAAGCCAAUCUGAUAACAUACAAAAAGAAACCAAAACGUUUAUUCCAGUGCAUCACAUGAUAGACAACUGUUGUGAAACUGAACAUCUUACCAGAACGUUUUAUCAAUAAACAUACUGCCAGGUGGGAGGGAUAUACUGAAAUAAGGUUAAAAAAAAAAAA